AGCAGUCGCGGUAAUUCCAGCUCCAAUAGCGUAUAUUAAAGUUGUUGCAGUUAAAAAGCUCGUAGUUGAAUUUCGGGGUCAGUAGGCUGGUCGUGCCACCGGUACGUACUGGUCUCACUGAUUCCUCCUUCCUGAAGAACCGUAAUGCCAUUAAUUUGGUGUUGCGGGGAAACAGGACUGUUACUUUGAAAAAAUUAGAGUGUUUAAAGCAAGCUAACGCUUGAAUACAUUAGCAUGGAAUAAUGAAAUAGGACGAUCGAUCCUAUUUUGUUGGUUUCUAGGAUUGACGUAAUGAUUAAUAGGGAUAGUUGGGGGCAUUAGUAUUCAAUUGUCAGAGGUGAAAUUCUUGGAUUUAUUGAAGACUAACUACUGCGAAAGCAUUUGCCAAGGAUGUUUUCAUUAAUCAAGAACGAAAGUUAGGGGAUCGAAGACGAUCAGAUACCGUCGUAGUCUUAACCAUAAACUAUGCCGACUAGGAAUCAGACGAUGUUAAUUUUUUAAUGACUCAUUUGGCACCUUA
Molecule: ribosomal RNA, 520 nt
Filed under: uncultured Glomus
Lineage: Eukaryota; Fungi; Glomeromycota; Glomeromycetes; Glomerales; Glomeraceae
Description: SSU rRNA
Rfam family: Eukaryotic small subunit ribosomal RNA
Source: RNAcentral